AUCAAAUGAUGAGAUAUUUGACAGCCUAUCGCUUGGAUCCUCUCUUGACUCAUUCCCCGAGGAAAACCAUCGCCAGUCGAAAUCUUAGCGCGACUUUUUUGAUCUCAAGAGUCGCGUUGUAAAGUCGGCCGGACAGGAAACUCCUCCCUGUCUUGAACUGAAGGACAGAAGCGAUUUUCCGGACGGGGAGGGACAUGCGAAAUUUAAUGAUGGUACUUGGGGAUAGAGGAUCUGACUCGAGAAAUGAGGACUCCUUUAGUAAUCUGAUGAAU
Non-coding RNA from Phlebotomus papatasi, 272 nucleotides. Lineage: Eukaryota; Metazoa; Arthropoda; Insecta; Diptera; Psychodidae. The record is from Rfam.